GAUGAACGCUGGCGGCGUGCUUAACACAUGCAAGUCGAACGGGAUCCAAGGGGUGCUUGCACUUUUUGGUGAGAGUGGCGAACGGGUGAGUAACACGUGAGUAACCUGUCCUUUUCUUUGGGAUAAGCAUUCGAAAGGGUGUUUAAUACCUUAUGUUCUGUCUGCCUCGCAUGGGGUGGGUGGGAAAGGCUUUGGCCGGAGUUGGGUGGGCUCGCGGUCUAUCAGCUUGUUGGUGGGGUGAUGGCUUACCAAGGCUUUGACGGGUAGCCGGCCUGAGAGGAUGGUCGGUGACAGUGGGACUGGGAUACGGGCCAGACACAUGCGGGAGGCAGCAGUGGGGGAUAUUGCAGAUUGGGCGAAAGCCUGAUGCAGCGACGCCGCAUGGAGGAUGAAGGCGUUCGGGUUGUAAGCUUCUUUUGCUCUGAGCAAGGCAAGCCAGUAUGUGUGUUGAGUGUAGGGGUUGAUUAGCGCCGGCUAACUACGUG
This 485-nucleotide ribosomal RNA is filed under the name uncultured bacterium. RNAcentral describes it as "partial 16S ribosomal RNA". It matches the Rfam family "Bacterial small subunit ribosomal RNA", at positions 28 to 507 of the family's 1533-position model. The record is from RNAcentral.